RNAcentral lists this ribosomal RNA (502 nucleotides) under uncultured bacterium. RNAcentral describes it as "partial 16S ribosomal RNA". It matches the Rfam family "Bacterial small subunit ribosomal RNA", at positions 29 to 523 of the family's 1533-position model. The record is from RNAcentral.
AUUGAACGCUGGCGGAAUGCUUUACACAUGCAAGUCGAACGGCAGCACGGGUGCUUGCGCCUGGUGGCGAGUGGCGGACGGGUGAGUAAUGCAUCGGAACGUGCCGUAUAGUGGGGGAUAACGCAUCGAAAGGUGUGCUAAUACCGCAUACGCCCUGAGGGGGAAAGUGGGGGACCGUAAGGCCUCACGCUAUACGAGCGGCCGAUGUCCGAGUAGCUAGUUGGUGGGGUAAAGGCUCACCAAGGCGACGAUCGGUAGCUGGUCUGAGAGGACGACCAGCCACACUGGGACUGAGACACGGCCCAGACUCCUACGGGAGGCAGCAGUGGGGAAUUUUGGACAAUGGGGGCAACCCUGAUCCAGCCAUUCCGCGUGAGUGAAGAAGGCCUUCGGGUUGUAAAGCUCUUUUGUCAGGGAGGAAAUCCUUAGCGUUAAUACCGUUGGGGGAUGACAGUACCUGAAGAAUAAGGACCGGCUAACUACGUGCCAGCCGCCGCAGUAA